CACCCCCAACAACAGCACCACCAAAGUACCAAACAAAAGACAAAAAAAAAUUAUACUGACAACAAGUCUUUUUAAGUUCUCCCAACAGAUGACUUUUUUCGCAUAUUUUAAUAAAAACAACGGUUAGUUCAUUCAAGACCUAAAAGUCACCUUUCCUUCAAUUUUCUCAAUAAAUAGGAAACUGGUUUUGGGUAAAUCAUUAAUAGCAAC
Molecule: long non-coding RNA, 210 nt
Filed under: Capsicum annuum
Lineage: Eukaryota; Viridiplantae; Streptophyta; Magnoliopsida; Solanales; Solanaceae
Description: long non-coding RNA (CANN_LNC016413)
Source: RNAcentral